GUACCAGCGCCGCGGUAAUACCGGCAGCCCGAGUGAUGGCCGAUCUUAUUGGGCCUAAAGCGUCCGUAGCUGGCUGCGCAAGUCCGUCGGGAAAUCCACUCGCCCAACGAGUGGGCGUCCGACGGAAACUGCACAGCUUGGGACCGGAAGGCUCGAAGGGUACGUUCGGGGUAGGAGUGAAAUCCUAUAAUCCCGCACGGACCACCGAUGGCGAAAGCACUUCGAGAAAACGGAUCCGACAGUGAGGGACGAAAGCUAAGAUCGCGAACCGGAUUAGAAACCCCUUGUAGUCC
RNAcentral lists this ribosomal RNA (293 nucleotides) under uncultured bacterium. Its description in RNAcentral is "partial 16S ribosomal RNA". It matches the Rfam family "Archaeal small subunit ribosomal RNA", at positions 455 to 747 of the family's 1478-position model. The record is from RNAcentral.